Carassius gibelio (silver crucian carp) is the source of this 670-nucleotide long non-coding RNA. RefSeq lists it as uncharacterized. The record is from RefSeq and is a predicted model, not a curated record. NCBI's taxonomy places the organism in Eukaryota, Metazoa, Chordata, Actinopteri, Cypriniformes, Cyprinidae. The transcript is spliced from 4 exons.
UCGCGCACCUUUUUAACAGGCCACGAGCGCGUUCGAGUUUAAAAAUGGCGAAAAUUACUGAAAGUCUUGAACCUACCAACCUACCAAACGUGGACUGAAAUAAUAUCUAACACAUGACGAAUUGCCACUGAGCCGUUUGGAGUUUCAAUUCUGAUGUCUGGUUAACAUUCAUCACAUAAAGAGAUAUUCAAUUAUCAGUGAAAUAUAGCGCAACAUUUGAGCUCCGAAUGUUUAUAUGGAUGUCAUAGCUUGCUCAGAUGUUGUUGGAUGAACACUGACCUCACAUGCUUCAUGGCUGUAGGCCUGCGGUGUGUCAGGACCCCAUCUCUCUUGACUGUGUGUUUGUCUGUCAUGGCCCUCGGUGUUGUGAGAAGCUCAAUUACCCAGAACCCCCUGCACAGCGGUUUAUUAGGAGUGAUGGAGGGAUGGCACACAUCGGACAGCACGUCUGCACCAUUUCCCACAAGGCUGUUCACUUGCCUCUCCAUCAUGUAAUUCACCAUCUGUAGCAGCGGAGAUGGACACGAGCGAAACGGAGGGAUGAGAACGGUCCACACCUGAGAAGAGAACAAGAAAGAGGUGUUUAAUGAGGUGUGACAGCAGUUCAGCUUGAGCUACAGGAGUGACUCGGUGGAGAUGAGACCAGGUUUCUUCAUCAUCCUCAUCCUCA